Molecule: unclassified non-coding RNA, 218 nt
Filed under: soil metagenome
Description: partial contains 5.8S ribosomal RNA, internal transcribed spacer 2, and large subunit ribosomal RNA
Source: RNAcentral
AACCUUAUGGACCUGCGGGCGUAUACCUGCGGAAGGAUCAUUACAAGUGACCCCGGUCUAACCACCGGGAUGUUCAUAACCCUUUGUUGUCCGACUCUGUUGCCUCCGGGGCGACCCUGCCUUCGGGCGGGGGCUCCGGGUGGACACUUCAAACUCUUGCGUAACUCUGCAGUCUGAGUAAACUUAAUUAAUAAAUUAAAACUUUCAACAAUGGAUCU